Molecule: ribosomal RNA, 254 nt
Filed under: Escherichia coli
Lineage: Bacteria; Pseudomonadati; Pseudomonadota; Gammaproteobacteria; Enterobacterales; Enterobacteriaceae
Description: partial 16S ribosomal RNA
Rfam family: Bacterial small subunit ribosomal RNA
Source: RNAcentral
UUAAAUUGAAGAGUUUGAUCAUGGCUCAGAUUGAACGCUGGCGGCAGGCCUAACACAUGCAAGUCGAACGGUAACAGGAAGCAGCUUGCUGCUUCGCUGACGAGUGGCGGACGGGUGAGUAAUGUCUGGGAAACUGCCUGAUGGAGGGGGAUAACUACUGGAAACGGUAGCUAAUACCGCAUAAUGUCGCAAGACCAAAGAGGGGGACCUUCGGGCCUCUUGCCAUCGGAUGUGCCCAGAUGGGAUUAGCUUGU